GAUGAAGAACGCAGCGAAAUGCGAUAAGUAGUGUGAAUUGCAGAAUUCAGUGAAUUAUCGAAUCUUUGAACGCACAUUGCGGCCAUAGGUAUUCCUUUGGCCAUGCCUGUUCGAGCGUCAUUUACACCCUCAAGCCUAGCUUGGUGUUGGGCGUCUGUCCCGCCGUUCUCGCGCGCGGACUCGCCUCAAAGUCAUUGGCGGCGGUCGUGCCGGCCCCCUCGCGCAGCACAUUUGCGCUUCUCGGAGGCCCGGCGGAUCCGCGCUCCAGCAAGACCUUUCACGACUUGACCUCGGAUCAGGUAGGGAUACCCGCUGAACUUAAGCAUAGCAAUAAGCGGAGGA
RNAcentral lists this unclassified non-coding RNA (342 nucleotides) under soil metagenome. RNAcentral describes it as "partial contains 5.8S ribosomal RNA, internal transcribed spacer 2, and large subunit ribosomal RNA". The stretch from base 1 to 120 matches the Rfam family "5.8S ribosomal RNA", at positions 35 to 154 of the family's 154-position model. The record is from RNAcentral.